CCCGACUGCUAUUUGGGUGAGGAUAAACCAUGCGAGUUGAAUGGGAUACCUAAAUAUCCCAUAGCAAACUGCUCAGUAACACAUGAUCAACUUACCCUAUGGAGAAAAAUAACCUCGGGAAACUGAGGAUAAUGUUUCAUAGUUGAAUAGGCUUGGAAAAGUUUUUCAAUGAAAGGGAUAAGAAAAAUGGUUCUUAUUUGCCAUAGGAUAGGAUCGUGGUCGAUUAUGGCUGUUGGUGAGGUAACGGCUCACCAAGCCGAUAAUCGAUAGGGGCCGUGAGAGCGGGAGCCCCGAGAUGGGUACUGAGACAACGACCCAGGCCUUACGAGGCGCAGCAGGUGCGGGACCUCCGCAAUACACGAAAGUGUGACGGGGUUACCCAAAGUGUUCUAUUUAGAACUGUGGUAGGUGAGUAAUGUCCCCUACUAGAAAGGAGAGGGCAAGGCUGGUGCCGGCCGCCGCGGUAAAACCAGCUCUUCAAGUGGUCGGGAUAAUAUUGGGCUUAAAGUGUCCGUAGCCGGUUUAGUAAGUUCCUGGUAAAAUCGGGUAGCUCAACUAUCUAUAUGCUAGGAAUACUGCUAUACUAGAGGGCGGGAGAGGUCUGAGGUACUACAGGGGUAGGGGUGAAACCUUAUAAUCCUUGUAGGACCACCAGUGGCGAAGGCGUCAGACUGGAACGCGCCUGACGGUGAGGGACGAAAGCCAGGGGAGCGAACCGGAUUAGAUACCCGGGUAGUCCUGGCCGUAAACGAUGCAUACUAGGUGAUGGCACGGCCAUGAGCCGUGUCAGUGCCGUAGGGAAACCGUUAAGUGUGCCGCCUGGGAAGUACGGUCGCAAGGCUAAAACUUAAAGGAAUUGGCGGGGGAGCACCACAAGGGGUGAAGCCUGCGGUUCA
Molecule: ribosomal RNA, 896 nt
Filed under: uncultured archaeon
Lineage: Archaea
Description: bacterial SSU rRNA
Rfam family: Archaeal small subunit ribosomal RNA
Source: RNAcentral